ACGUAGGGGGCAAGCGUUAUCCGGAUUUACUGGGUGUAAAGGGAGCGUAGACGGCUAAGCAAGUCAGAAGUGAAAGGCUGGGGCUCAACCCCGGGACUGCUUUUGAAACUGUUUGGCUAGAGUGCUGGAGAGGUAAGCGGAAUUCCUAGUGUAGCGGUGAAAUGCGUAGAUAUUAGGAGGAACACCAGUGGCGAAGGCGGCUUACUGGACAGUAACUGACGUUGAGGCUCGAAAGCGUGGGGAGCAAACAG
Molecule: ribosomal RNA, 251 nt
Filed under: uncultured bacterium
Lineage: Bacteria
Description: partial 16S ribosomal RNA
Rfam family: Bacterial small subunit ribosomal RNA
Source: RNAcentral